RNAcentral lists this ribosomal RNA (252 nucleotides) under uncultured bacterium. RNAcentral describes it as "partial 16S ribosomal RNA". It matches the Rfam family "Bacterial small subunit ribosomal RNA", at positions 524 to 776 of the family's 1533-position model. The record is from RNAcentral.
UACAGAGGGGCGAGCGUUGUUCGGAAUUACUGGGCGUAAAGGGCUCGUAGGCGGCCAACUAAGUCGGAUGUGAAAUCCCCAGGCUUAACCUGGGAACUGCAUCCGAUACUGGAUGGCUUGAAUCCGGGAGAGGGAUGCAGAAUUCCAGGUGUAGCGGUGAAAUGCGUAGAUAUCUGGAGGAAUACCGGUGGCGAAGGCGGCAUCCUGGACCGGCAUUGACGCUGAGGAGCGAAGGCCAGGGGAGCAAACGGG